UACGUAGGGUCCGAGCGUUGUCCGGAAUUAUUGGGCGUAAAGGGCUCGUAGGCGGUUUGUCGCGUCGGGAGUGAAAUCCACUGGCUUAACUGGUGGCUUGCUUUCGAUACGGGCAGACUGGAGGUAUGCAGGGGGAGAACGGAAUUCCUGGUGUAGCGGUGAAAUGCGCAGAUAUCAGGAGGAACACCGGUGGCGAAGGCGGUUCUCUGGGCAUGUCCUGACGCUGAGGAGCGAAAGUGUGGGGAGCGAACAGG
Molecule: ribosomal RNA, 254 nt
Filed under: uncultured bacterium
Lineage: Bacteria
Description: partial 16S ribosomal RNA
Rfam family: Bacterial small subunit ribosomal RNA
Source: RNAcentral